GUCCCUAUAAAACGCAGGAAGUAUUCGUAGGCUCCAAAGGUGAGGAAGUAGUGGAGGCGCUCGAUGGGAGUGCCCUGGAAGAUAGGCCAUUGGCCGCAGAGGAAGGAGACCAACGCUAGCAGUGUGGCCANNNNUGCCAGAACCCAAUGCUCUGCCAUCGUUUAUCUUUAAAGAUUCGAGAAUGAAAAAACUUUUAGAGAUGGAGAAUUUGGGAGAUGGGCUCUUGCGGUUGGGAAAUUC
RNAcentral lists this unclassified non-coding RNA (240 nucleotides) under Hevea brasiliensis (rubber tree). The record is from RNAcentral. Lineage: Eukaryota; Viridiplantae; Streptophyta; Magnoliopsida; Malpighiales; Euphorbiaceae.